ACAUGCCCUAAUAGAAGAAACAGAAACUUCAUCAGGUUCCAAAAAUCCUGCAUUGCCACUGAAACUUCCAGGAACAGUCACUGCUGAAGGCAUCUCAGAAGACUCUGUCAUAGGUUUUUUUUCCAUGUCAACAUCUUGCUGAAGGGAGUCAGCAUGUAUUUCAUUGCUGAGAGCGGUCACGUCAAAAGUAUCUGGUUGAGGCAUAUCAGAU
Molecule: unclassified non-coding RNA, 211 nt
Filed under: Hevea brasiliensis (rubber tree)
Lineage: Eukaryota; Viridiplantae; Streptophyta; Magnoliopsida; Malpighiales; Euphorbiaceae
Source: RNAcentral